GACGAACGCUGGCGGCGUGCUUAACACAUGCAAGUCGAACGGAAAGGCCCUGCUUUUGUGGGGUGCUCGAGUGGCGAACGGGUGAGUAACACGUGAGUAACCUGCCCUUGACUUUGGGAUAACUUCAGGAAACUGGGGCUAAUAUCGGAUAGGAGCUCCCGCUGCAUGGUGGGGGUUGGAAAGUUUCGGCGGGUGGGGAUGGACUCGCGGCUUAUCAGCUUGUUGGUGGGGUAGUGGCUUACCAAGGGAUUGACGGGUCGCCGGCCUGAGAGGGUGACCGGCCACAAUGGGACUAAGAUAGGGCCCAGACGGCUACGGGAGGCAGCAGUGGGGAAUAUGGCACAAUGAGCGGAAGCCUGAGGCAGCAACGCCGCGUGCGGGAUGACGGCCUUCGGGUUGUAAACCGCUUUCGCCUGUGACGAAGCUGGAGUGACGGUAAUGAGUAAAGAAGCACCGGCUAACUACGUG
Molecule: ribosomal RNA, 468 nt
Filed under: uncultured bacterium
Lineage: Bacteria
Description: partial 16S ribosomal RNA
Rfam family: Bacterial small subunit ribosomal RNA
Source: RNAcentral